Molecule: ribosomal RNA, 253 nt
Filed under: uncultured bacterium
Lineage: Bacteria
Description: partial 16S ribosomal RNA
Rfam family: Bacterial small subunit ribosomal RNA
Source: RNAcentral
UACGAAGGGUGCAAACGUUGCUCGGAAUUAUUGGGCGUAAAGCGCACGUAGGCGGCUUUUUAAGUCAGGGGUGAAAUCCUGGAGCUCAACUCCAGAACUGCCUUUGAUACUGAGAAGCUUGAGUCCGGGAGAGGUGAGUGGAACUGCGAGUGUAGAGGUGAAAUUCGUAGAUAUUCGCAAGAACACCAGUGGCGAAGGCGGCUCACUGGCCCGAUACUGACGCUGAGGCACGAAAGCGUGGGGAGCAAACAGG